GGCCGGAUGGUCUAGUCGUAUGAUUGCCGCUUCGGGACGAAAGUCUCCCUGACAAUAAAUGUCGGGAUCGAAAUGUGGCAGGUCCCGGGUUCAAAUCCCGGUUCGGCCC
Non-coding RNA from Zalaria obscura, 109 nucleotides. The record is from the annotation of a GenBank genome assembly. Lineage: Eukaryota; Fungi; Ascomycota; Dothideomycetes; Dothideales; Zalariaceae.